CCCUCACAUACAGGUCUAUAACUACCCCCUCACAUACAGGUCUAUAACUACCCCCCUCACAUACAGGUCUAUAACUACCCCCUCACAUACAGAUCUAUAACUACCCCCUCACAUACAGGUCUAUAACUACCCCCUCACAUACAGGUCUAUAACUACCCCCUCACAUACAGGUCUAUAACUACCCCCUCACAUACAGGUCUAUAACUACCCCCUCACAUACAGGUCUAUAACUACCCCCUCACAUACAGGUCUAUAACUACCCCCUCACAUACAGGUCUAUAACUACCCCCUCACAUACAGA
Molecule: long non-coding RNA, 301 nt
Organism: Oncorhynchus keta (chum salmon)
Lineage: Eukaryota; Metazoa; Chordata; Actinopteri; Salmoniformes; Salmonidae
Exons: 3
Source: RefSeq, a predicted model, not a curated record